CAGUAGCCGCGGGAAUACGUAGGUGGCAAGCGUUGUCCGGAAUUACUGGGCGUAAGGGCGCGUAGGCGGCACGAUUAGUCAGGCGUGAAAUUCCUGGGCUCAACCUAGGGACUGCGCUUGAUACGGUCGAGCUAGAGGAUGGAAGAGGGUUGUGGAAUUCCCAGUGUAGAGGUGAAAUUCGUAGAUAUUGGGAAGAACACCGGUGGCGAAGGCGGCAACCUGGUCCAUUACUGACGCUGAGGCGCGACAGCGUGGGGAGCAAACAGGAUUAGAUACCCCGGUAGUCCCUGUCUCUUAUACA
This 301-nucleotide ribosomal RNA is filed under the name uncultured bacterium. Its description in RNAcentral is "partial 16S ribosomal RNA". It matches the Rfam family "Bacterial small subunit ribosomal RNA", at positions 509 to 808 of the family's 1533-position model. The record is from RNAcentral.